UUUUUUUAAAGGCGCCAAAUAGGCAGCUUUGCCACAGUCUGGGUUUUUUCGUAGGAGAGUGCCAAAAAAAUCUUAUUUAAAUUAAUGCGCAGAAGCUAAUUUAUAUAAGAAUUUUUAGGCAAUCUCCUACGCUUACACCCAGCCAGUGGUAACGCUACAAAUAGGCAUACAAAUUGCAUACAAUAAUUCAAAAUUGAGAGAAUGAUAUAAUUUUAACAAUUAAAUAAACUUAUUUUUUAAGAAAGCGGUGCCCCAUUUGUCCCAUCCGUGCUGUAUUUACUAAAAUAACUAAAUAUUCCGAUUUAUUAAUUUUUAUUAACCGACUCUGAUUUUUAUUAUUCAAGUAAAUUUCAACAUUUGAAACGCGCAAAUAGGUCGAGGCGGCCAAUGGUGGCCGCCUCCAGAAAAAUUUUUGGAGGCAAAAACAUUUGGAGGCCGCCUCCAAGAGUUUCUGUCUCCCAGUUGGCUGCGGCCGCCAAAUUGGAGGUGGAAAUAUUUGCCUCCCGCUGGCGGAUGUAAUGAAAAAUAAUUGCACGUUUAUCUUUAAGUUAACGAGAAAUUAAAAUAAUAACUGAGAACAAAUUAUGAAUGUUUGACAUCUAAGGUUUGGUUUAUAUGAUUUAUUGACUAUUUAAAAUAAAAUUUGAAAAAAAAAAUUAUAAUUUUGUCAGAGCGGUUAUUUUUCUAGGAUUUUCGAAUUUAGAAUUAUUGUUUUGAUGUUUAUUUUGAUAUUUCAAUUUUUUUUUGAAAAUGUGAGGUCCCAACAAAAUCGGAGAACCAGGCCUUAUAAGAUUGCAUAAAAUAGGUUUAAUUACCCAUAAUUGAUUGCAUAAAAUAGGUUUAAUUACCGAUGGCGGUUUAAUUACCGAUGGCGAUGUAAUUACCGAUGGCGAUGUAAUUACCGAUAGCGAUGGCGGUUUAAUUACCGAUGGCGAUGGCGGUUUAAUUACCGAUUACCGAUGGCGGUUUAAUUACCGAUGGCGAUGGUAGGUUUAAUUACCGAUAGCGACUAUUGAUUUUUAUCGGCAGUUCUAUUUUUUUGUGUGUGUAAUUUAAGAGAUUUAAAAUAUGCAAAGUAACUAAUGCAAUAAGUAACUAAAAUAAUAAUAAAACUCUAUUUUAAAAGUCAUAAUGCUAAAGUUUGUUUACCGCAUUUUCUAUUGCUAAUUAGAAAAUACAAGUAAAAUAAAAACAAAAAGGUUUUAUCGUUUAAACAUUCUUUUUUUUUAAUUUAAUUAAAUUUUAGAGAUAUGCAAUAAUUUAAAAGAUAAGUAAUAGAAGUAAAUUUGUCCAGUUAGUCGAAAUUCUACAUAUACCGAAAAAAAAUUAAAAAAAAAUUUAAAGAAAUAACUAAUGACUCUAGAUCGCGUCUGGAAAGGCAAUUUAAUUAGUACUUUAAAAACUAGUUACUAAUGAUAAUGGUAGGUUUAAUUACCGAUGGCGCUAAUGUUUUAACUGGACGGAGACAAAGUGUUCAGCAACAGCUAGUAGGUGCAACAAUUUUCUCACUUACAUUGUUUGUCGCACCGAUUGCAGCUGGCACUGAAAGAUGCAGCCAGCACUUCAAAGGAACUCCAAAUUCUGCAGCUAUUUUGUGAGCAACUCUUCAUUUUUCAUCGAAGUUCUACUGUUAUAUCAGCGGUUUAUUGUAACGCACGCAAAGUUUAUGGUGUAAAAGGCCAAAUGCAGAGUCAUACGAGUUAGAAAUAAACAACUAAAAAAGUAUAUAUAAUUAGGUUAGCACACAAAAAAAAAUGUUUCAACGUAUGAAGUUAAGUCUUAGCUCGAGCAAUUUAGAAAGAUUCGAAGAAAAUCCAGACGCUGGUUUUUACUGGAACAAGCGCUCGGUAUAUGGGAUUGUAAAUUUGCAUGAAGUGAUAAAAGUAUGAAGAUCGAGUUUUUAUUACUACAUCCAUGCAAAAGUGCAUUUUGAAACGAUAUUCAAAUGUAUCAGAUGUCUUUGCGGAGGCGGACGAGUUGCUUAACACAGUUGAAUGGACGGAGAGCGACUUUUUCACGGCUGAAAACAACAAAAAGUUACAUAAAACAUGCUAGACAAUAACAUAAAAGCCUUUAUUGACGACGAUAUGCUUUGCAACAACUCGAAUAUAAACGAGUAGAUGUUGAAAAUAUUUUAUUAGAGUGGAUAAUAUUGAAGAAAAUAAUAGCAACUUGGACAAGUGCAAGUUCAAAAUCAUUUCCACCGCUAUCUAUGUAAAUCUAUAUAAACCAGAUAGAUUAGCGAAUCUAUCUAUAUAAACCAGAUAGAUUCGCUAAUCUUUUUUCUCUGAUUGAUUUUUUAUUUUGCCAUAGCUUAAGUUCGGCAGACGCGGAAAAAGGCUUUAGCGCAAUGAAAAACAUUAAAUCAAUUCAAAGAACACGAGUCAGUAACAAGUUAUUAACGAUUGUAUAAUUCCAGAAAUGGAGUUGUACGAUCCAACAAAAGCCAUUAAACACUGGCUUUUAAAACCAUCACGAAAAAAAAAACUAGCAUUAUUCAAAAAAGCUUUACGUGGACAACAAAACUCCAGUUGUGUCAGUUAAAAAGUCAAAGAAAAUACAGAUUUUUGCUAGUAGCGAUGAUGACAGUGAUAGAGCUGUAACAAUUAAUGACGAUAUAUAAUAAUUUUGAGUCUUGAAUGUUUUUUACCUUUCAAAAUAUAAAUAUUUUUUCUUGUAACAAAUAAGAUCGUAAUAAUUACAACACAUUAAAAGCAAAAGGAUUUUAAAGUAUUUGCAAA
Long non-coding RNA from Hydra vulgaris (swiftwater hydra), 2741 nucleotides. RefSeq lists it as uncharacterized. The record is from RefSeq and is a predicted model, not a curated record. Lineage: Eukaryota; Metazoa; Cnidaria; Hydrozoa; Anthoathecata; Hydridae.